UGAGAUGUAGCUCAGUGGUAAAGUGCUUGCCUAGCAUGUAUGAGGACCUGGGUUCAAUCCUCAGCACCACAU
This 72-nucleotide transfer RNA is filed under the name Ictidomys tridecemlineatus (thirteen-lined ground squirrel). RNAcentral describes it as "Spermophilus tridecemlineatus (thirteen-lined ground squirrel) tRNA". It matches the Rfam family "tRNA". From Rfam's summary of the family: Transfer RNA (tRNA) molecules are approximately 80 nucleotides in length. Their secondary structure includes four short double-helical elements and three loops (D, anti-codon, and T loops). The record is from Rfam by way of RNAcentral. Lineage: Eukaryota; Metazoa; Chordata; Mammalia; Rodentia; Sciuridae.